GGCCCGCGAAUACGCGUGGACCUUGUGGAACGCCGGGCCUCCCCGGGCGUCCCCGCUCUCUGGUAGUUGCCGGGAGACCCGGCCGGUGGGGAAGCCCGCGGAGCCGCAGCCCCGGCCCCGGCAGGUCUCUCUGGGCCCCGGGCCCGACUCCCACCUCUGCGCCGGCCCGCGGGCUUCGCAGGCCCUGCACUGCCGACCGGGCUGCGCUCAAGGCCGCCAGCCGCCCGCCGCCCUCUUUGUCCCCCCGCUGCAGGAAGGCCGCGGCACAGGGGGCGCCCUCCAAGCCGUCAGCCACGCACGCGGAGGCGCUCGGGCCUCGGGGCGGCGCACUGGGAGAGCACGCCGGGGAGGACACGUGGGCCUUGGCGCGGAUUUUAAGGAAACAGAGCAACAGCUACAACAAAAUGGGGAGAAGAAAUGAGAACUGUGCUAACAGCCUACGUGUGUCAAACAUCUCUCAGGAGAACUUAUCUCACUGGAAUUUGGAUUCAGAAGUACCUGUUUCUGAAAAUAAAAACCUCCCAGCUGGAAGGGAUGGAGCAGCAGGUGAACUAUUUGGAAAUUCCAGUGGAGCAACUGAUGCUAGAACCUAAUUUGUC
RNAcentral lists this small RNA (599 nucleotides) under Pan troglodytes (chimpanzee). RNAcentral's name for it is "processed transcript". Lineage: Eukaryota; Metazoa; Chordata; Mammalia; Primates; Hominidae. The record is from RNAcentral.